RNAcentral lists this small nuclear RNA (108 nucleotides) under Nicotiana attenuata. Lineage: Eukaryota; Viridiplantae; Streptophyta; Magnoliopsida; Solanales; Solanaceae. The record is from RNAcentral.
GUCUGCAAAUCUAUCGGACAUCAGAUAAAAAAUUGGAACGACACUGAGAAGAUUAGUAUGCGCCCUGCUCAAGAAUAAAACACAAGUUGAAAAAUGAUCCAAAUUUAA